CAGCCGCCGCGGGAAUACGUAGGGCGCAAGCGUUAUCCGGAAUUAUUGGGCGUAAAGAGCUCGUAGGCGGUUUGUCGCGUCUGCCGUGAAAGUCCGGGGCUCAACCCCGGAUCUGCGGUGGGUACGGGCAGACUAGAGUGAUGUAGGGGAGACUGGAAUUCCUGGUGUAGCGGUGAAGUGCGCAGAUAUCAGGAGGAACACCGAUGGCGAAGGCAGGUCUCUGGGCAUUAACUGACGCUAAGGAGCGAAAGCAUGGGGAGCGAACAGGAUUAGAUACCCCGGUAGUCCCUGUCUCUUAUAC
This 301-nucleotide ribosomal RNA is filed under the name uncultured bacterium. RNAcentral's name for it is "partial 16S ribosomal RNA". It matches the Rfam family "Bacterial small subunit ribosomal RNA", at positions 509 to 807 of the family's 1533-position model. The record is from RNAcentral.